This 247-nucleotide ribosomal RNA is filed under the name Candidatus Kaiserbacteria bacterium RIFCSPLOWO2_02_FULL_56_11. Its description in RNAcentral is "partial 16S ribosomal RNA". It matches the Rfam family "Bacterial small subunit ribosomal RNA", at positions 1268 to 1533 of the family's 1533-position model. Lineage: Bacteria; Candidatus Kaiseribacteriota. The record is from RNAcentral.
CUAAUCCUUAUAAAACCGACCCCAGUACGGAUAGAGGUCUGCAACCGACCUCUUGAAGCCGGAAUUGCUAGUAAUCCCAGGUCAGCUAAACUGGGGUGAAUACGUUCUCGAGUCUUGUACUCACCGCCCGUCAAGUCAAGGGAGCUGGGGGUACCCGAAGGUCUGCCUUGCGCAGGACUACGGUAAAUUCAGUGACAAGGACUAAGUCGUAACAAGGCACGGGUAGCGGAAGCUGUUCGUGGAACAU